UGAUCUGUCCCCUUAAAUAUUUGUGGCGCAAAGGAAGCUAGGCAAUAGAUUUUUUUGUCCUUCUCCCCAUGCAGUAGGAGACUCGAUAGGUUUCGUAAAUCUUCCUGAAUUUGGACUGAAUGUUGUGAAUCCUCGACGCGGGACGCCCCUGAUCACAACUUUAGUGGACCAAAACGUCAUUCAUGCAAUCUUCGUGUCUUUGGAGUCGUCUCGUGUACGUUGACGCUUCUCGGGCUAGCUUAGCUUGCCAACAAAGAGACGCUUUUGUGAUCAACACUUCUCUCACCAGAAAUCAAGCCUGAAGUAAAGUCUUCUUCUUUCCGCCACCGACUGGGUAUGUGGCUGAUCUGACGGCCAUUGUGGAGGCACUGUGUUGCAGAGUGCAAGAUGAUGAAGAAAGCAUGGACUUUAUGCCUUGAGACGAUCGACUGAGAGAACCUCUGAGUGCAGCCUGUGAAAAACCUGACAAGGAAGAGGCUGUCCGUCUGUGCACAUGUCACUCAUUUUCGAAAAAAAAUGAAUUGUGAAAUGUGACCUAUUUGUACAAUGAACAAAAAAUAAACACAUGAAUGUU
This is a long non-coding RNA of Syngnathoides biaculeatus (alligator pipefish), 574 nucleotides long. RefSeq lists it as uncharacterized. The transcript is spliced from 2 exons. The record is from RefSeq and is a predicted model, not a curated record. NCBI's taxonomy places the organism in Eukaryota, Metazoa, Chordata, Actinopteri, Syngnathiformes, Syngnathidae.